RNAcentral lists this ribosomal RNA (711 nucleotides) under Triticum aestivum (bread wheat). RNAcentral describes it as "partial small subunit ribosomal RNA". The record is from RNAcentral. Lineage: Eukaryota; Viridiplantae; Streptophyta; Magnoliopsida; Poales; Poaceae.
AUGCUUGUAUAUGAGUACAUGCCCGAGAGAAGCUUGGACUCAUUUAUUAUUGGAUCGAGCGCAAAAUUCAGUUGGCAUGUUCGUGCCCGAAUAAUAGAAGGGAUAGCUCAAGGACUUCUCUACAUUCAUGAACAAUCACAUUUAUGUGUUGUCCAUAGAGACUUGAAACCGAGUAACAUUCUUCUGGACAGUGAAAUGAACCCAAAGAUAUCUGAUUUUGGCAUUGCAAGAGUAUGCCCUUCCAACAUAGUAGAAUCCAAUACCACGACUGUGGUUGGCACAAUUGGUUACAUGGCACCAGAAUAUUUCUCCCAAAAAAUUUAUUCCACAAAAUCAGACAUUUUUAGCUUUGGAAUAUUGCUGUUGGAGAUCAUAAGCGGAAAGGUAGCUUUUGGGUCCUACAAAAUAAAUGGAAGAUCAUAUGAUCUCAGGAGAUAUGCUUGGCUACUAUGGAGAGAUGAAAAAUGCAAAGAGCUCAUCGAUCCAUCAUUGAGUGAGGAGUACCAAAAGGUGGAGAUGAUUAGGUGCACACAAAUUGCACUUUUGUGUGUUCAAGAAAGUGCAGAUGACCGACCAACAAUGCGUGAAAUUAACAUGAUGUUAAACAAUGGUAACAUAAUAUUACCUAUGCCCAGCCAACCAGGAUAUUUCGACAUAAAUCCGAGUAUCAUCGAGUCAUCAUCACCAACAGACAUGGUGAGUAGUAAUUAA